Misgurnus anguillicaudatus (oriental weatherfish) is the source of this 417-nucleotide non-coding RNA. NCBI's taxonomy places the organism in Eukaryota, Metazoa, Chordata, Actinopteri, Cypriniformes, Cobitidae. The record is from the annotation of a RefSeq genome assembly.
AUGACAACACAAUGCAAAGAAGACGACAGGAAACUUCUGCUCUUUGUAUCACUGUGGUACACAUUCGGCAGCGGCACCAGACUGGAUGUUGGCAGUAUCAGUCGUCCUAAAGUGAGCGUCCUGCCGCCGUCCAGUGAAGAGAUUUCCACAAAGCAAACAGCAACACUGAUGUGUGUGGCCAACAAGGGCUUCCCCUCAGACUGGAGUCUGAACUGGAAGGUGAACGGGAUCAGCAGCAGGUCUCAGUACAGCAGUGUUGCUCUCUUGGAGAAGGACGGUCUGUACAGCUGGAGCAGCAGUCUGACUCUCUCUGAGCAGGAGUGGAGCUCAGUGAUCUCAGUCAGCUGUGAGCUCACACAGAAAGACCAGCGUGAUAAAGUCACUGGAGAAUUGAGGAGAGAUCAGUGUUCACAGUAG